CUGCCCUUAAAGAGCAUCUACAUGCGACA
This 29-nucleotide non-coding RNA is filed under the name Homo sapiens (human). Lineage: Eukaryota; Metazoa; Chordata; Mammalia; Primates; Hominidae. The record is from RNAcentral.